This 193-nucleotide ribosomal RNA is filed under the name Clostridium tetani. Its description in RNAcentral is "partial 16S ribosomal RNA". It matches the Rfam family "Bacterial small subunit ribosomal RNA", at positions 316 to 525 of the family's 1533-position model. The record is from RNAcentral. Lineage: Bacteria; Bacillati; Bacillota; Clostridia; Eubacteriales; Clostridiaceae.
UACGGGAGGCAGCAGUAGGGAAUCCUACGGGAGGCAGCAGUGGGGAAUAUUGCACAAUGGGGGAAACCCUGACGCAGCAACGCCGCGUGAGUGAUGAAGGUUUUCGGAUCGUAAAACCCUGUCUUCUGGGAAGAUAAUGACGGUACCCAAUGAGGAAGCCACGGCUAACUACGUGCCAGCAGCCGCGGUAAUA